UACGGAGGGUGCAAGCGUUAUCCGGAUUCACUGGGUUUAAAGGGUGCGUAGGUGGCUUUGUAAGUCAGUGGUGAAAGCCCGGAGCUCAACUCCGGAACUGCCAUUGAUACUGCUUAGCUUGAAUCACGUCGAGGUGGAUGGAAUAAUACAUGUAGCGGUGAAAUGCUUAGAUAUGUAUUAGAACACCGAUUGCGAAGGCAGCUCGCUACACGAAUAUUGACUCUGAGGCACGAAAGCGUGGGGAUCAAACAGG
RNAcentral lists this ribosomal RNA (253 nucleotides) under uncultured bacterium. RNAcentral describes it as "partial 16S ribosomal RNA". It matches the Rfam family "Bacterial small subunit ribosomal RNA", at positions 524 to 776 of the family's 1533-position model. The record is from RNAcentral.